GACGAAUGCCGGCGGCGUGCUUAACACAUGCAAGUCGAACGGAAAGGCCCUGCUUUUGUGGGGUGCUCGAGUGGCGAACGGGUGAGUAACACGUGAGUAACCUGCCCUCGACUUUGGGAUAACUUCAGGAAACUGGGGCUAAUACCGGAUAGGAGCUCCUGCUGCAUGGUGGGGGUUGGAAAGUUUCGGCGGUUGGGGAUGUACUCGCGGCUUAUCAGCUUGUUGGUGGGGUAGUGGCUUACCAAGGCUUUUACGGGUAGCCGGCCUGAGAGGGUGACCGGCCACUCUAUGUCUGACAUACGCCCCAGACUCCUACGGGAUGCAGCAGUGAGGAAUAUUGCACAACGGGCCGAAGCCUGAUGCAGCAACGCCGUGUGCGGGAUGACGGCCGUCGGGUUGUAAACCGCUUUCGAAUGAGACAAAGCCUGAGCGACGUUAAUGAGCAAAGAAGCACCGGCUAACUACGUG
Molecule: ribosomal RNA, 468 nt
Filed under: uncultured bacterium
Lineage: Bacteria
Description: partial 16S ribosomal RNA
Rfam family: Bacterial small subunit ribosomal RNA
Source: RNAcentral